This is a long non-coding RNA of Pecten maximus, 552 nucleotides long. RefSeq lists it as uncharacterized. The record is from RefSeq and is a predicted model, not a curated record. The transcript has 6 exons. Lineage: Eukaryota; Metazoa; Mollusca; Bivalvia; Pectinida; Pectinidae.
AGAGAAAAGCGUGAAAACCAAGGACCAGGACGCCGAAGUCCGCCAGCUGGAAUAGAAACGAGUCAGGCCGGCAGAGAAAAGCGUGAAAGCCAUGGACUAAGACGCCAACGUCCGCCAAGAGGGAUAGAAACGAGUCAGGCCGGCAGAGAAAAGCGUGAAAGCCAAGGACUAAGACGCCAACGUCCGCCAACAGGGAUAGAAACGAGUCAGGCCGGCAGAGAAAAGCGUGAAAACCAAGAACUAAGACGCCAACGUCCGCCAAGAGGGAUAGAAACGAGUCAGUUUAAGAUACACAAGUAGAAGGAGAGAACAAACCUUACGAAAGAGAAUUGGAAGCAGAGAAUUAUCAAAUCACUGAUAUCCAUCUUAGAAAUGCAGUGAUGGAUCCAGUCAAACCCUGACUUUUGGCCUACUAAUCCCGUGAUCCGUAUACCAACCGUUACCACAACUGUCUACGUCUCUUCUUUCAAAAUAUGAUAUUAAAAACAAUUGAUUAAAGCGUGAUAAAAUCACAUGUAAUUUAGCAAUAAAGAUUCCUUGCAUUGAAAUCAA